UACGUAGGGCGCAAGCGUUAUCCGGAAUUAUUGGGCGUAAAGAGCUCGUAGGCGGUUUGUCGCGUCUGCUGUGAAAACCCGAGGCUCAACCUCGGGCCUGCAGUGGGUACGGGGCAGACUAGAGUGCGGUAGGGGGAGAUUGGAAUUCCUGGUGUAGCGGUGGAAUGCGCAGAUAUCAGGAGGAACACCGAGUGGCGAAGGCAGAUCUCUGGGCCGUAACUGACGCUGAGGAGCGAAAGCAUGGGGAGCGAACAGG
Molecule: ribosomal RNA, 256 nt
Filed under: uncultured bacterium
Lineage: Bacteria
Description: partial 16S ribosomal RNA
Rfam family: Bacterial small subunit ribosomal RNA
Source: RNAcentral